AUCCAGCUGACGAGUCUCAAAUAGGAUGAAACGUGCGUCUUGAAU
This is a non-coding RNA of Schistosoma margrebowiei, 45 nucleotides long. The record is from Rfam. Lineage: Eukaryota; Metazoa; Platyhelminthes; Trematoda; Strigeidida; Schistosomatidae.